CCUACGGGGGACAGCAGUAGGGAAUAUUGCUCAAUGGGGGAAACCCUGAAGCAGCAACGCCGCGUGGAGGAUGAAGGUUUUCGGAUUGUAAACUCCUUUUGUUAGAGAAGAUAAUGACGGUAUCUAACGAAUAAGCACCGUCUAAAUCCGUUCCAGGAGCCGAGGUAAUACGGAGGGUCCAAGCGUGACUCUGAAUCACUGGGCGUAAAGAGCGCGUAGGCGGGAUAGAAAGUCAGAUGUGAAAUCCUAUGGCCUAACCAUAGAACUGCAUUUGAAACUGUUAUUCUAGAGUAUGGGAGAGGUAGGUGGAAUUCUUGGUGUAGGGGUAAAAUCCGUAGAGAUAAAGAGGAAUACUCAUUGCGAAGGCGACCUGCUAGAACAUAACUGACGCUGAUGCGCGAAAGCGUGGGGAGCAAACAGGAUUAGAUACCCGAGUAGUC
Molecule: ribosomal RNA, 440 nt
Filed under: uncultured bacterium
Lineage: Bacteria
Description: partial 16S ribosomal RNA
Rfam family: Bacterial small subunit ribosomal RNA
Source: RNAcentral